RNAcentral lists this ribosomal RNA (500 nucleotides) under uncultured Myrionecta. RNAcentral describes it as "SSU rRNA". It matches the Rfam family "Eukaryotic small subunit ribosomal RNA", at positions 33 to 598 of the family's 1831-position model. The record is from RNAcentral. Lineage: Eukaryota; Ciliophora; Litostomatea; Cyclotrichida; Mesodiniidae.
AAUGUCUAAGAUAGCCAUGCACGUCUAAGUACAAACUAAAUGAUGGUGAAACUGCAAAUGGCUCAUUACAACGGUUAUGAUGUACCCGGGAGUUCCGAUGGAUAUUUCCAGUAACACUAGAACUAAUACAUGUCCCUGCGUUUAUUAGUUUCGCACAGUCCGUCGCUGAGUCAUGGUAAACAGUUGAUCGACUCGACGUCCCGGAACAGUUUCCGCCCCAUCAGCUUCGAUGGUUGGGUAUUGGCCUACCAUUGCAACAACGGGUAACGAGGAAUUAGGGUUUGAUUUCGGAGAGGGAGCCUGAGAAACGGCUACCACAUCUACGGAUGGCAGCAGGCGCGCAAAUUACCCAAUGCAGACACUGUGAGGUAGUGACGAGAAAUAAUAAAGCGGGACUUCUGUUUCGCUAUUAUAAUGAGGAAUAACCAAAGGUCAUUCCGAUUAGCAACUGAUGGGAAAGUCUGGUGCCAGCAGCCGCGGUAAUACCAGCGUCAGUAGCA